GACGAACGCUGGCGGCGUGCUUAACACAUGCAAGUCGAACGGAAAGGCCCUGCUUUUGUGGGGUGCUCGAGUGGCGAACGGGUGAGUAACACGUGAGUAACCUGCCCUUGACUUUGGGAUAACUUCAGGAAACUGGGGCUAAUACCGGAUAGGAGCUCCUGCUGCAUGGUGGGGGUUGGAAAGUUUCGGCGGUUGGGGAUGGACUCGCGGCUUAUCAGCUUGUUGGUGGGGUAGCGGCUUACCAAGGCUUUGACGGGUAGCCGGCCUGAGAGGGUGAUCGGCCACAUUGGGACUGAGAUACGGCCCAGACUCCUACGGGAGGCAGCAGUGGGGAAUAUUGCACAAUGGGCGGAAGCCUGAUGCAGCAACGCCGCGUGCGGGAUGACGGCCUUCGGGUUGUAAACCGCUUUCGCCUGUGACGAAGCGUGAGUGACGGUAAUGGGUAAAGAAGCACCGGCUAACUACGUG
This 468-nucleotide ribosomal RNA is filed under the name uncultured bacterium. RNAcentral describes it as "partial 16S ribosomal RNA". It matches the Rfam family "Bacterial small subunit ribosomal RNA", at positions 28 to 507 of the family's 1533-position model. The record is from RNAcentral.